CCUACGGGGGGCAGCAGUAGGGAAUAUUGCUCAAUGGGGGAAACCCUGAAGCAGCAACGCCGCGUGAAGGAUGAAGGUUUUCGGAUUGUAAACUCCUUUUAGUAGAGAAGAAAAUGACGGUAUCUAACGAAUAAGCACCGGCUAACUCCGUGCCAGCAGCCGCGGUAAUACGGAGGGAGCAAGCGUUAAGCGGAAUCACUGGGCGUAAAGAGAGCGUAGGCGGGAUAGCAAGUCAGAUGUGAAAUCCUAUGGCUUAACCAUAGAACUGCAUUUGAAACUGUUAUUCUAGAGUAUGGGAGAGGUAGGUGGAAUACUUGGUGUAGGGGUAAAAUGCGUAGAGAUUAAGAGGAAUACUCAUUGCGAAGGCGACCUGCUAGAAUAUAACUGACGCUGAUGCGCGAAAGCGUGGGGAGCAAACAGGAUUAGAUACCCGGGUAGUC
Molecule: ribosomal RNA, 440 nt
Filed under: uncultured bacterium
Lineage: Bacteria
Description: partial 16S ribosomal RNA
Rfam family: Bacterial small subunit ribosomal RNA
Source: RNAcentral